CAAAUGGGAUUCCUUUAAGUCAAUGCCGAAACCUCCACAAUAAAUGUGCACAAGAAACCAAAAUCUAUAAGGGAAAAGACGCUCGUUAUGUCUCUGCUAUAUCAAUGUUAGAUUUAAUUGCAGAUUGACUCUGUGCGUGUGAGGCAAGAUAACUGCCGUUCUUCCACCUCCAUUACUGUUGAUAGAUUUUUUGAGUCGAUCAAGUACGAUUAUCAGCGAUCUGGACAUGACAGCGAAUGUUUUCCUAAAUGUAGCAGCUUUCCGUCGAUAGAAAAGGUUACCACGCCUCCACAUGAUAUUCCGAAACUGAAUACACAAAAUCAAUUUUCUUGGAGGGCCGACGAUUUUCUGAAGAGCGGUGAGCCGACGAGUGAUCGCGAUGCUAUUCGAAGUCACAGGAAAUGGCAGAAACAACCUACAACGUUGCGUGAAGAAAACUGCUGCUAAGAGGAAAUAUUGUUUGACUUGACUGACACAGCAGAGCGACUAUUUGGGGCCGGUAGUCGAGGAUCGCCUGGUCAUCAAAAUGCAAAAGGGCAAAACCCCUACUGUCGAUCAACGCAAAUCGGCUGACGCUUUGGUAGUGCAACCGACAGGUGGGAAAAAAUGGAGCCGGUGGAAAAAGGUCGGAUUUUUAUGUACAAGACUUGCCUUCUAUGACGUGAGAUUUAAUCAAGGUAGCUCCCACACUCUCGGGCAGUACCUACCUAAUCGCUAGCCAUCCAGAAUGACAACACUGCUCCAAAACCGAUGGGAAGAUCCAAUAUCCUUCAAAUCAACACAGAGCGAACUACGUAGUUGGACAAAGGUUGCCUUAAUUAUUAGGUCGCUUAUUAACCCUGAGAGCGCAGCUUUUAUGUAGACACUCUCGGGCAGUACCUACCUAAUCGCUAGCCAUCGAGAAUGGCAACACUGCUCCAAAAGCGAUCAGAAGAUCCAAUAUCUUUCAAAUCAACACAGAGCAAUUACGUACUUGAAGAAGGCUUGCUUAUUAUGUCGCUUAUCAACUCUGAGAGGGCAACAUUCAUUUAGAUGUACACCACAUCAAAUUUCACACCGCCAUCAACGGAUACGUUACAGCCGUCGCGUCGCGUCGAUCAGAAACACAUUAUCCUAAGGAACUGCGAGAUCGAAACGUUGGAAAUCUGGACCAGUCAUCAGCAGUAAGGGAUGCAGGAAGAAAACAACGUCCACCUAACCCCUCAACUUCUCUGGCGGGAGCUACAUCAGCAGGAAGGGAUGCAGUAAGAAAACAACGUCCAUGUCCGGAAACAUCCGUUGUAACCUAACCCCUCAUCUUCUCUGUCGGGAACUACAUCAGCAGGAACUACAUCAGCAGGAAGGGAUGCAGUAAGCAAACAACGUCCAUUUCUAGAAAUCUGGAAACGCCCGUUCUAACGUCCACUAAUUUCCAUGGUAAGUGGAAGCACGAUUCCUCCCCAUUAGCUAACCAAGCUUCCGCCGACUGAACUUCGCUUUUUCGUCUUCCAAGGCAAAGUUCAGAAGGCGAAGUUCAGUUCUGUUUUGUUUUUGGGGAUAAUUAAAGGCAUUAUUAUUAUUAUUAAGAAACGAUGAUGGCAGCGAUAAAAGCUAAACCUAAUUUACAAGAAUUUUUUUUUAAAUUUUUUGAAU
Molecule: long non-coding RNA, 1632 nt
Organism: Photinus pyralis (common eastern firefly)
Lineage: Eukaryota; Metazoa; Arthropoda; Insecta; Coleoptera; Lampyridae
Exons: 9
Source: RefSeq, a predicted model, not a curated record